ACACAUGCAAGUCGAGCGCGAACGCACCUUCGGGUGUUAUUAGAGCGGCAGACGGGUGCGUAACACGUGGGAAUCUACCUAGAACUAAGGAAUAGCCAUUGGAAACGAUGAUUAAUACCUUAUAAUCCCUCCGGGGGAAAGAUUUAUCGGUUUUAGAUGAGCCCGCGGUUGAUUAGUUUGUUGGUGAGGUAAUGGCUCACCAAGACUACGAUCAAUAGCUGGUCUGAGAGGAUGAUCAGCCACACUGGGACUGAGACACGGCCCAGACUCCUACGGGAGGCAGCAGUGGGGAAUAUUGCACAAUGGACGAAAGUCUGAUGCAGCCAUGCCGCGUGAGUGAUGACGGCCUUCGGGUUGUAAAGCUCUUUUAAUAGGGAAGAUAAUGACGGUACCUAUAGAAUAAGCCCCGGCUAACUUCGUGCCAGCAGCCGCGGUAAUACGAAGGGGGCUAGCGUUGUUCGGAAUUACUGGGCGUAAAGAGUACGUAGGCGGUUUGCCAAGCCAGAUGUGAAAUCCCGGAGCUCAACUCCGGAACUGCAUUUGGAACUGGCAGACUAGAGGAAGAUAGAGGCAAGUGGAAUUUCUUGUGUAGGGGUGAAAUCCGUAGAUAUAAGAAGGAAUAUCAAUAGCGAAGGCAGCUUGCUGGGUCUUUUCUGACGCUGAGGUACGAAAGCGUGGGUAGCAAACAGGAUUAGAUACCCUGGUAGUCCACGCCGUAAACGAUGGAUGCUAGACGUUGGCCCUAGAGGUCGGUGUCGUAGUUAACGCGUUAAGCAUCCCGCCUGGGGAGUACGGUCGCAAGAUUAAAACUUAAAGGAAUUGACGGGGACCCGCACAAGCGGUGGAGCAUGUGGUUUAAUUCGAGGCAACGCGAAGAACCUUACCAGGACUUGACAUCCUGAUCGCGGACUCUGUAAUGGAGUCCUUCAGUUCGGCUGGAUCACCUCCUUUCU
This 953-nucleotide ribosomal RNA is filed under the name uncultured bacterium. RNAcentral's name for it is "bacterial SSU rRNA". It matches the Rfam family "Bacterial small subunit ribosomal RNA", at positions 51 to 1041 of the family's 1533-position model. The record is from RNAcentral.